RNAcentral lists this ribosomal RNA (406 nucleotides) under uncultured bacterium. RNAcentral describes it as "partial 16S ribosomal RNA". It matches the Rfam family "Bacterial small subunit ribosomal RNA", at positions 28 to 526 of the family's 1533-position model. The record is from RNAcentral.
GACGAACGCUAGCGGCGUGCUUAACACAUGCAAGUCGAACGAGUGGCGGACGGGUGAGUAAUGUCUGGGAAACUGCCUGAUGGAGGGGGAUAAAUACUGGAAAAGGUAGCUAAUACCGCAUACCAUGGGAUGUGCACAGAUGGGAUUAGCUAGUAGGUGGGGUAACGGCUCACCUAGGCGACGAUCCCUAGCUGGUCUGAGAGGAUGACCAGCCCCACUGGAACUGAGACACGGUCCAGACUCCUACGGGAGGCAUCAGUGGGGAAUAUUGCACAAUGGGCGCAAGCCUGAUGCAGCCAUGCCGCGUGUAUUAAGAAGGCCUUCGGGUUGUAAAGUACUUUCAGCGGUGAGGCGUUACCCGCAGAAGAAGCACCGGCUAACUCCGUGCCAGCAGCCGCGGUAAUAC